AGUUUUGGUCCUAAACUUGCCAUUGUUUUUUAUCAAAAUUAUACAUGCAAGCCUCCACACACCAGUGAGAAUGCCCACAUAUUCCUAAACAGAACACCGGAGCAGGUAUCAGGAUACAACACCAAUUUUAGCCAAAGACACCUUGCAUAAUGCCACACCCACACGGGCUUUCAGCAGUAAUAGACAUUAAAACAUGAGCGAAAGCUCGACUUAAUUAUGAUCAAAAUGGUCGGUAAAUUUCGUGCCAGCCACCGCGGUUAUACGAAAGACCAAAAACAAUAGCCCACGGCGUAAAGCGUGACUAGAGACAAAUCCCUAUUAAAGGGGCACAGCAACCAAGUUGUAAAACACUACUGCCCGCUAGAACCACAACGAAACUGCCUUUAAACCACUUAACCUCACGAAAGCUAAGGAACAAACUGGGAUUAGAUACCCCACUAUGCUUAGCCCUAAACACAGAUAGUAUAAACACAACACUAUCCGCCAGAGAACUACAAGCGAAAAGCUAGAAACUCUAAGGACUUGGCGGUGCUUCAAAUCAACCUAGAGGAGCCUGUCCUAUAAUCGAUACCCCACGUUUAACCUUACCCCUCCUAGCCAAUCAGCCUAUAUACCGCCGUCGCCAGCCCACCCUAUGAAAGAAACAAAGUGGGCAAGAAAGUUUUCAACUAACACGUCAGGUCAAGGUGUAGCACACGGAGCGGAAGAGAUGGGCUACAUUUCUUCAAAGAAUAAAACACGAAUAAUGUGCUGAAACACACACUUGAAGGCGGAUUUAGUAGUAAGAUAAAUAAGAACAACUAUCUUAAACCUGCCCUGAAGCGCGCACACACCGCCCGUCACCCUCAUCACAUGUAACUAAGUACAAAAC
Molecule: non-coding RNA, 871 nt
Filed under: Lerista baynesi
Lineage: Eukaryota; Metazoa; Chordata; Lepidosauria; Squamata; Scincidae
Description: partial 12S ribosomal RNA
Rfam family: Bacterial small subunit ribosomal RNA
Source: RNAcentral